RNAcentral lists this ribosomal RNA (516 nucleotides) under uncultured Paracoccaceae bacterium. Its description in RNAcentral is "bacterial SSU rRNA". It matches the Rfam family "Bacterial small subunit ribosomal RNA", at positions 538 to 1050 of the family's 1533-position model. The record is from RNAcentral. Lineage: Bacteria; Pseudomonadati; Pseudomonadota; Alphaproteobacteria; Rhodobacterales; Paracoccaceae.
GCGUUGUUCGGAAUUACUGGGCGUAAAGCGCACGUAGGCGGAUUGGAAAGUUGGGGGUGAAAUCCCGGGGCUCAACCCCGGAACUGCCUCCAAAACUAUCAGUCUAGAGUUCGAGAGAGGUGAGUGGAAUUCCAAGUGUAGAGGUGAAAUUCGUAGAUAUUUGGAGGAACACCAGUGGCGAAGGCGGCUCACUGGCUCGAUACUGACGCUGAGGUGCGAAAGUGUGGGGAGCAAACAGGAUUAGAUACCCUGGUAGUCCACACCGUAAACGAUGAAUGCCAGUCGUCGGGCAGUAUACUGUUCGGUGACACACCUAACGGAUUAAGCAUUCCGCCUGGGGAGUACGGUCGCAAGAUUAAAACUCAAAGGAAUUGACGGGGGCCCCCACAAGCGGUGGAGCAUGUGGUUUAAUUCGAAGCAACGCGCAGAACCUUACCAGCCCUUGACAUGUGGAGUUUGGUUAUCAGAGAUGGUUUCCUUCAGUUCGGCUGGCUCCAACACAGGUGCUGCAUGGCU